GAGUCCGCCAGCGGAUGGGGAUGUAGAACGGGCAGCCUCUAAUGGCGCCUGCUGGUAAGGCGGGGUGCCUGUGGCCAUACAGGAAAGGGGAGCAGCUCCCACCUCGAGGCUCUGUCUGCCUCAGAGAGCCAGCUGUUAAACACUAGCCAACACCCCACUGAUGCUGUUCCUUCUACCUGAAACACCUCGCAUUGCCGGUGAGCUCUAAAGACAAGAGGACCUGGGUCUGCAUUUCCCAAAGGAUGAGGGCAAAAGAGUUUAAGAUGGUGGAGCCUUAUUAUGCAAAGGAACCCAAUCCCAGCGUCCACUGGAAGAAGACUGCCCAGGACUUCUACCUUCCCGGGAACAUCUGCCCAGAGUCCACCAGCUGGAAGAAGACUGCCCAGGACUUCUACCUUCCUGGGAACAUCUGCAUCAGACUCUGUGGGGGAGGGAAAUAAACCUUCAUUGUGUUCAGCCAGCGAGAUAUUUGUCAUUGUUACAGUAGUGAGCCAAUCCUGAUAAAUACAUGGUAUUUGAUAGACCCAUUUCACAGAAUGGGAAAACAGAGGCUCAGUAGAUGGAGCUCACACUACUCAUAAGUAGUACAACAGGGAUUUGAACCAAGCUCUGUCUGACACUAGAUAUCCCUUUCAUUGGUUCUUUUUCUGUUUUUGUUUUUGUUUUUAAGAGAUGAGGUCUCGGCCGGGCGUGUAAUCCCAGCACUUUGGGAGGCCAAAGGGGAUGGACCACUUGAGGUCAGGAGUUUGAGACCACCCUGGCC
Molecule: long non-coding RNA, 763 nt
Filed under: Pan troglodytes (chimpanzee)
Lineage: Eukaryota; Metazoa; Chordata; Mammalia; Primates; Hominidae
Description: long non-coding RNA NONPTRT004121
Source: RNAcentral